RNAcentral lists this long non-coding RNA (2194 nucleotides) under Brassica napus (rape). RNAcentral's name for it is "long non-coding RNA (BNAP_LNC017241)". The record is from RNAcentral. Lineage: Eukaryota; Viridiplantae; Streptophyta; Magnoliopsida; Brassicales; Brassicaceae.
UCUACGCUCAAGGACUAAUCACCACCAGAUCCAUAGAAAUCCAUGUUUUCUUGCCACUUAACGUGUCUAUGGGUGGCCAAGGAGAACCAAGGGCGGAAGCUCCAGCCGGAGCCCAGAGCGGAAGCUCCAGCCAGCCGGAGCCCAGAGCGGAAGCUCCAGCCAGCCGGAGCCCAGAGCGGAAGCUCCAGCCAGCCGGAGCCCAGAGCGGAAGCUCCAGCCAGCCGGAGCCCAGAGCGGAAGCUCCAGCCAGCCGGAGCCCAGAGCGGAAGCUCCAGCCAGCCGGAGCCCAGAGCGGAAGCUCCAGCCAGCCGGAGCCCAUGACAGAAGCUCUAACCGGAACUCUUUUAUCACUAGGCCAAGACCACUUGCUUACGUUUUUGUAGGUUAUGUUUCCUUUUUUUUUGUAUAAAGUAUCUGCCAUAUAGUUUAAUAAUUUAACUUAUUUCUUUCCUUUUUCACCAAAACUAAAACAUCUUUUAUUGUUCUUGUAAUUUGUUUUACUUUUUGCAGAUAUGCUUCUAUAAAAAAAAAAUCUUGUUAUGUUUUCGCCCCACCAAAACCUCACUUGACAAAAUUCAAAACUACUUAUUUCUUCAUUACCACUAUCAUUUUGAUUUACUUUUUAUUUUUUGGUACAACUUUUUAUAUAAUAACAAUCAAAUGCAUGUUUAAUCAUUUUAGACAACGAACUUUGUAUGUUUAUUUUAUUGAGAUUAUCAUCAUUUCAAGUGUGAUAAUAAUAUAUAUUUUGAAUUUAUUUUAUUAAAUAUAUAAUAAUAUUUUAUUUAAAUUAUGACUCCAGUUAAAUUAUUUUUCUGAAUCUGUCAUUGAACUGCCACAAUUAAAUAUCAGAAAUCAAGUUAGUGGGUUUAGUUCACUUAAAUUCAGUGGCACAUUUGGUGUAAAUAUCCUUUAUUGCCCCCCUAACAUGCGUUAAAGUCCACUCUCUGACCCAAACAUUUAAUCUAUACUAUUAAAGCAAAAUUACUAUUAAGAUUUUGCCCUUAAUUUUUAAAGUUAUUUACAAGAGAAUGUCACUCCUAAAUUUAUGCUAUAUACGGGUUAUAUAGAAAUCGUCGGAUUUUUUGUUCGACCACAGAUCUAAGCCGGAUAUGGAAACACUGCUUGAAACUCAAAACAACUUUCAUUUUUUUUUAUAAAAAAUUAUAAAUUCAUACAUAUUUUAUCAAAACUAUCACCAGAAAAUUGGUUAUUUAGUUUUUGUAGGUUACGUUUCUUUUUUGUAUAAAGUAUCUGCCACAUAUUUUUUUCUUUCGUUUUUUACUAAAAUUAAAACAUCGUUUAUUAUUGUUCCUGUAAUUUGUUUUAUUUCUUGCAGAUAUGCUUCGACAAAUUAUUUUUUCUUCUUGUUAUAUUUUCACCUCACCAAAACCUCAUUUGACAAUAUUCAAAACUACUUAUUUCUUCUUUACCACUAUCAAUUUUAUUUUUUGGUACAAUUUUUUAUAUAAUAACAAUCAAAUGCAUGUUUAAUAAUCUUAGACAAUGAAUUUUUAUAUGUUUAUUAUAUUGAUUAUAUCAUCAUUUAAAGUGUGAUAAUAAUAUUUUUUUAAAAAAAUUUAUUAUAUUAAAUAUAUAAUAUCAUUUUAUUUAAUUAUGUCCCCGGGUAAAUUAUCUUCUGAAUUCGCCACUGGAAGGAAAUUAGAGAUAUGGAUUAGGACCACUAGGAGAAGUAGUAGCAACAAAGUUCCAAACGACAAGUAGUGAGUGCAAAGAAAAUAUCUAUACACCGUAUGGAAAAAAAUGAUCUCAUAAAGCAACGUAGAUGGUAUCAUGUCGUAGCGAUAUCUGGGUAAAUCAUUUCGUUAUUAAUGUUAUCUUUAUCGAUGUAUCUAAGCCAGGAUUAUCUAAAUGUGUUAGAAGGAUUUGUACCACUGCGACAUGAUACCAUCCAGGUUGUAUCCAAACCAUAAGAGUCCACGAAACAACUAGACAUCCAAUAAUUGGAGAGUGGGAUCUUGUAGGCAUUUUUUGUUCCCUUCGGAGCCAUACAGAAAGAGAUCAUAUUUUCAGUAGCAAGCAUCUUUCAAACGACGACAAGGCAGAUCCGUCAAAUCACAUAGCAGUUAAUCUAGCCUAGUUUAAUGUCAUAAUAAUUGUACACUGUUCAUGCUUCUUUAGUAUAUACUCACUCUGUUGUAUUUUAAUUAUCAUUUUAGAUUUAAACGCACAG